Molecule: ribosomal RNA, 1354 nt
Filed under: metagenome
Description: bacterial LSU rRNA
Rfam family: Bacterial large subunit ribosomal RNA
Source: RNAcentral
UGUGGGGAAUUCAGUGAUCCUAUGCUGCCGAGAAAAGCCUCUAGUGAGUUCAUACACGGCCCGUACCCCAAACCGACACAGGUGAUCAGGUAGAGAAUACCAAGGCGAUCGAGAGAACUGUGGUUAAGGAACUCGGCAAAAUGCCCCCGUAACUUCGGGAGAAGGGGGACCAUGCCCGGUGAACAUCUUCACGGUGGGAGCUGGGUGUGGUCGCAGAGACCAGAGAGAAGCGACUGUUUACUAAAACACAGGUCCGUGCGAAGACGUAAGUCGAUGUAUACGGACUGACGCCUGCCCGGUGCUGGAAGGUUAAGAGGACCGGUUAGCCGUAAGGCGAAGCUGAGAAUUUAAGCCCCAGUAAACGGCGGUGGUAACUAUAACCAUCCUAAGGUAGCGAAAUUCCUUGUCGGGUAAGUUCCGACCUGCACGAAUGGCGUAACGACUUCUCUGCUGUCUCGACCACAGACUCGGCGAAAUUGCACUACGAGUAAAGAUGCUCGUUACGCGCGGCAGGACGAAAAGACCCCGGGACCUUUACUAUAGCUUGGUAUUGGCGUUCGAUUCGGUUUGUGUAGGAUAGGUGGGAGACUGUGAAGCAUGCACGCCAGUGUGUGUGGAGUCGUUGUUGAAAUACCACUCUGAUCGUAUUGGACGUCUAACCUCGGCCCAUGAUCUGGGUUAGGGACAGUGCCUGGUGGGUAGUUUAACUGGGGCGGUUGCCUCCUAAAGAGUAACGGAGGCGCCCAAAGGUUCCCUCAGCCUGGAUGGCAAUCAGGUGUUGAGUGCAAGUGCACAAGGGAGCUUGACUGUGAGACUGACACGUCGAGCAGGGACGAAAGUCGGGACUAGUGAUCCGGCACCGGCAAGUGGAAGCGGUGUCGCUCAACGGAUAAAAGGUACCCCGGGGAUAACAGGCUGAUCUUCCCCAAGAGUCCAUAUCGACGGGAUGGUUUGGCACCUCGAUGUCGGCUCGUCGCAUCCUGGGGCUGGAGUAGGUCCCAAGGGUUGGGCUGUUCGCCCAUUAAAGCGGCACGCGAGCUGGGUUUAGAACGUCGUGAGACAGUUCGGUCUCUAUCCGCCGCGCGCGUAAGAAACUUGAGGAAGGCUGUCCCUAGUACGAGAGGACCGGGACGGACGAACCUCUGGUGUGCCAGUUGUUCCACCAGGAGCAUGGCUGGUUAGCUACGUUCGGAAGGGAUAACCGCUGAAAGCAUCUAAGCGGGAAGCCUGUUCCAAGAUGAGGUUUCUCACCACCUUGCGUGGUUAAGGCCCCCUACAGACCAUGGGGUUGAUAGGCCGGAACUGGAAGCGCAGCAAUGCGUGGAGGUGACCGGUACUAAUAGGCCGAGGGCUU